Molecule: long non-coding RNA, 764 nt
Organism: Scylla paramamosain (green mud crab)
Lineage: Eukaryota; Metazoa; Arthropoda; Malacostraca; Decapoda; Portunidae
Exons: 3
Source: RefSeq, a predicted model, not a curated record
UGGCCUGAGUCUUUCUCUCAAGUGUCUGAGCGGCGCACUCAGGCCCACUCACCUCAGCCAAGGAGAGAGUCGCGGGUAAUGGAGUGGCGUGGUGACCAUUCUGAGCAGAUAGUCUCGAGGAGCACUAAACACAGCUGAGCCUGCUGCUCCUACACUUUGCUUUGUGCCUCGCCCUGCAAAAUGCUGCUUGACCCAUGCAUGAUGUACUGGAUGUGUUUCAGUAUAAAAUGAUACAUUUUGAUAAGCCCAGAGAAGAAAAUGCUUGGAGGAAUACGCAAGACAGGAGAAGCGGUGUUGAAUGAAGAAGCAGGAAGACAGAUUGCGAAGGUGGUGUGAGGCAGCAGGUGCCGGACAGUGGUGCAGUUCCUGCUGGUUACGCUGACCAAAAGACGACGAGAUAGGUGUAGCUAUUUAUGGGCCGCCCAACAUCUUGCUGAGCCUGCCCGCCGCCUGCUGUCCUUUGGGUGAAUUCAUCAUGCUGACUUACAGGAAGCACCAUUUCAAUCAAGUUACGAACAAAGAGAGAGAAAGAAGUUUAAGCCCAUUACGACAACACGGCAAUAUGGGUCACGCCAGGGAACCUUAUUAGGGCCUUCGUGCGCCGCCCACCCACCUCCACCCAGGGACCCACGCCACCCACGCCCACUCCCAGUCUCACACCCAUGCUCUCACGCCCACAUGCGCUGCAACGACUAUGAUUACACCCAUGAUUGCGCGCUCUCUCUCUCUCUCUCUCUCUCUCUCUCUCUCUCUCUCUCUCUCUC